CCUACGGGUGGCAGCAGUGAGGAAUAUUGGUCAAUGGAGGAGAGUCUGAACCAGCCACGUAGCGUGCAGGAUGACGGCCCUAGGGGUUGUAAACUUCUUUUAUAUGGGAAUAAAAUGAUUCACGUGUGGGAUAUUGCAGGUACCGCAUGAAUAAGGACCGGCUAAUUCCGUGCCAGCAGCCGCGGUAAUACGGAGGUUCCGAGCGUUAUCCGGAUUUAUUGGGGUUAAAGGUUGCGUAGGCGGCUGGUUAAGGUAGUGGUGAAGGGUCGCGGCUCAACCGUGAGAUUGCAGUGGAAACUGGCAGUCUUGAGUGCAGUAGAGGUGGGCGGAAUUCGUGGUGGAGCGGUGAAAUGCUUAGAUAUCACGAAGAACUCCGAUUGCGAAGGCAGUUCACUGGACUGUAACUGACACUGAGGCUCGAAGGUGGGGGUAUCAAACAGGAUUAGAUACCCCAGUAGUC
Molecule: ribosomal RNA, 460 nt
Filed under: uncultured bacterium
Lineage: Bacteria
Description: partial 16S ribosomal RNA
Rfam family: Bacterial small subunit ribosomal RNA
Source: RNAcentral